Molecule: ribosomal RNA, 164 nt
Filed under: uncultured bacterium
Lineage: Bacteria
Description: partial 16S rRNA
Rfam family: Bacterial small subunit ribosomal RNA
Source: RNAcentral
UAGGGAAUCUUCCACAAUGGGCGAAAGCCUGAUGGAGCAACGCCGCGUGUGUGAUGAAGGGUUUCGGCUCGUAAAACACUGUUGUAAGAGAAGAAUGACAUUGAGAGUAACUGUUCAAUGUGUGACGGUAUCUUACCAGAAAGGAACGGCUAAAUACAUACCAG